RNAcentral lists this ribosomal RNA (253 nucleotides) under uncultured bacterium. RNAcentral's name for it is "partial 16S ribosomal RNA". It matches the Rfam family "Bacterial small subunit ribosomal RNA", at positions 524 to 776 of the family's 1533-position model. The record is from RNAcentral.
UACGGGGGGGGCAAGCGUUGUUCGGAAUUACUGGGCGUAAAGGGCUCGUAGGUGGCCAACUAAGUCAUACGUGAAAUCCCUCGGCUUAACCGGGGAACUGCGUCUGAUACUGGAUGGCUUGAGAUUGGGAGAGGGAUGCGGAAUUCCAGGUGUAGCGGUGAAAUGCGUAGAUAUCGGAAGGAACACCUGUGGCGAAAGCGGCUCACUGGACCAUAACUGACGCUGAGGCGCGAAAGCUAGGGGAGCAAACAGG